Molecule: ribosomal RNA, 112 nt
Filed under: Flavobacteriales bacterium
Lineage: Bacteria; Pseudomonadati; Bacteroidota; Flavobacteriia; Flavobacteriales
Also listed under: 1 other name
Source: RNAcentral
UAUGGUGACUAUAGCACUGGUGUCCACCUCUUCCCAUUUCGAACAGAGAAGUUAAGCCCAGUAGCGCCGAUGGUACUAGAGUGAAAUCUGGAAGAGUAGGUCGUUGCCGUUU